AUAAGGGUCUACAAUUGCUAAUACAGAUUUUGGCAAUGGAACCUGGCUGACUUUGUGUUGAAGGGAAGUCUCAUAAUUAACUCGACUCAGCCAAGUCUUAACCCUAAAUUAGUUGGAAGUCUUAUAAUUGUUUUACUCCCAAAAAUUCUCUACUGUUAUUAUUUGUACUAUGAUGAUGAUUGGUUGUUAUAUUCUUUGUCUUUUUUCUGAAAAUGUAAGUGAAAGCUGAAAUUUUUUGCAUCUUUUUG
This 248-nucleotide unclassified non-coding RNA is filed under the name Hevea brasiliensis (rubber tree). The record is from RNAcentral. Lineage: Eukaryota; Viridiplantae; Streptophyta; Magnoliopsida; Malpighiales; Euphorbiaceae.